RNAcentral lists this non-coding RNA (127 nucleotides) under marine eukaryotic metagenome. The record is from RNAcentral.
CCGUCAGAACCUUUGCAAUGUAGGGAAUCAGAGGCAGGUUCAGGACCAGCAGCACCACAUUGCCGAUAUACAUCGAAAUGAUCACGGACCAGAAAAUAUCCGGCUGGUCCUGCAUCAGGCGCGGGCC